Molecule: transfer RNA, 55 nt
Filed under: Posthodiplostomum centrarchi
Lineage: Eukaryota; Metazoa; Platyhelminthes; Trematoda; Diplostomida; Diplostomidae
Description: tRNA-Phe
Source: RNAcentral
ACCUUUUUAGCUUAAAUAAAAGUGUUAGUUUGAAGAACUAAAGAUACUUAAUGUA